ACGCUAAGUGGAAAACGAUGUGGAGUUGCGAAAACAACCAGGAUGUUGGCUUAGAAGCAGCCACUCAUUAAAAGAGUGCGUAAUAGCUCACUGGUCGAGUGACUCUGCGCGGAAAAUAUAACGGGGCUAAGCGUAACACCGAAGCUUGGGCUGCACAGCAAUGUGCGGGGUAGGGGAGCGUCGUGUACGGGGUGAAGUCGCAGCGGAAGCAGCGGUGGACUUUACACGAGUGAGAAUGCCGGAAUGAGUAGCGAGAAUUAUGUGGGAAUCAUAAUGGCCGAAAAUCUAAGGUUUCCUGGGGAAGGUUCGUCCGCCCAGGGUAAGCCGGGAGCUAAGGCGAGGCCGAAAGGCGUAGUCGAUGCACAUACGGUUGAAAUUCCGUAGCCACCGAACCUUAAGCACACUGACACAUGGAGAUAGCGGGACCCGGGCGUUGGUUGACCCGGGCGUAAGGGACCGAAAUCAAGUAGGGAAGUCCGCGAUGCUCUGUGGCGAGAAAAGGUGUGAGGAAUGCUAAGGUGCCCGUACCGCAAACCGACACAGGUAGAUGAGGAGAGAAUCCUAAGGCCAACGGGAGAAGGGUUGUUAAGGAACUCGGCAAAAUGACCCCGUAACUUCGGGAUAAGGGGAGCCUCCUACGGGAGGCCGCAGCGAAUAGGCCCAAGCGACUGUUUACCAAAAACACAGGUCUCUGCUAAAUCGAAAGAUGACGUAUAGGGGCUGACGCCUGCCCGGUGCUGGAAGGUUAAGAGGAGAGCUUAGCGCAAGCGAAGGUUUGAAUCGAAGCCCCAGUAAACGGCGGCCGUAACUAUAACGGUCCUAAGGUAGCGAAAUUCCUUGUCAGGUAAGUUCUGACCCGCACGAAUGGCGUAACGAUUUGGGCACUGUCUCAACAGCCCACCCGGCGAAAUUGUUGUACUGGUGAAGAAGCCAGUUACCCGCAACUAGACGGAAAGACCCCAUGGAGCUUUACUGUAGCUUAAUACUGGAAAUCGGUAAAUCAUGUACAGGAUAGGUGGGAGACUUGGAAGCCUGGGCGUCAGCUUAGGUGGAGUCACCCUUGGGAUACCACCCUUGAUUUGCUGGUUUUCUAACCUGCGGCCGUGAAUCCGGUCGGGGGACACUGUUAGGUGGGCAGUUUGACUGGGGCGGUCGCCUCCUAAAAGGUAACGGAGGCGCUCAAAGGUUCGUUCAGCACGGACGGAAACCGUGCAGUGAGUGUAAACGCAUAAACGAGCCUAACUGCGAGACCGACGGGUCGAGCAGUAACGAAAGUUGGAGUUAGUGAUCCGGCGGUAUGCAAGUGGAAGUGCCGUCGCUCAACGGAUAAAAGCUACCCUGGGGAUAACAGGCUGAUCUCCCCCAAGCGUCCACAGCGACGGGGAGGUUUGGCACCUCGAUGUCGGCUCGUCACAUCCUGGGGCUGAAUUCGGUCCCAAGGGUUCGGCUGUUCGCCGAUUAAAGUGGCACGCGAGCUGGGUUCAGAACGUCGUGAGACAGUUCGGUCCCUAUCUGUUGCGGGCGUAAGAGAUUUGAAGGGAGCUGUCCUUAGUACGAGAGGACCGGGAUGGACGUACCUCUGGUGCACCAGUUGUUCUGCCAAGGGCAUGGCUGGGUAGCUAUGUACGGACGAGAUAAACGCUGAAGGCAUCUAAGCGUGAAACUCCCCCUAAGAUUAGAUCUCUCAUCCUUCGGGAGUAAGGCACGUCGUAGACUAUGACGUUGAUAGGUCGGAGGUGGAAGCGCGGUAACGCAUGCAGCUGACCGAUACUAAUAAGCCGAGGGCUUGACCUUA
This 1795-nucleotide ribosomal RNA is filed under the name Flavonifractor sp. An52. RNAcentral describes it as "bacterial LSU rRNA". It matches the Rfam family "Bacterial large subunit ribosomal RNA", at positions 1056 to 2925 of the family's 2925-position model. The record is from RNAcentral. Lineage: Bacteria; Bacillati; Bacillota; Clostridia; Eubacteriales; Oscillospiraceae.